AGUGAACGCUGGCGGUAGGCCUAACACAUGCAAGUCGAACGGCAGCACAGUAAGAGCUUGCUCUUACGGGUGGCGAGUGGCGGACGGGUGAGGAAUACAUCGGAAUCUACUUUUUCGUGGGGGAUAACGUAGGGAAACUUACGCUAAUACCGCAUACGCCCUACGGGUGAAAGCAGGGGAUCUUCGGACCUUGCGCGAUUGAAUGAGCCGAUGUCGGAUUAGCUAGUUGGCGGGGUAAAGGCCCACCAAGGCGACGAUCCGUAGCUGGUCUGAGAGGAUGGUCGGCGACACUGGAAGUGAGACACGGUCCAGACUCCUACGGGAGGCAGCAGUGGGGAGUAUUGGACAAUGGGCGCAAGCCUGAUCCAGCCAUACCGCGUGGGCGAAGAAGGCCUUCGGGUUGUAAAGCCCUUUUGUUGGGAAAGAAAAGCAGCAGGUUAAUACCCCGCUGUUCUGACGGUACCCAAAGAAUAAGCACCGGCUAACUUCGUG
This 492-nucleotide ribosomal RNA is filed under the name uncultured bacterium. RNAcentral's name for it is "partial 16S ribosomal RNA". It matches the Rfam family "Bacterial small subunit ribosomal RNA", at positions 29 to 507 of the family's 1533-position model. The record is from RNAcentral.